AUGCUCAAGUCUCAGGCUCUCAGCUCAAUAAUUCACCUGCCAAGCAUCAACAUUUAAGCUAAUGACUUCAUAAUGGAGUCUCCGAUUGGGCUGAGCUUCUGGGCAACGAUGCAAAGAUAACGCGGAAAAGGACUAACAGGUCCUACACAUUGUCACAGUCGACCCUACAGGAACAAGGAAAAAUAAUUGAUGAGUUGCCCUGACGAUUGAAACCCG
RNAcentral lists this long non-coding RNA (216 nucleotides) under Setaria italica (foxtail millet). RNAcentral describes it as "long non-coding RNA (SITA_LNC006099)". The record is from RNAcentral. Lineage: Eukaryota; Viridiplantae; Streptophyta; Magnoliopsida; Poales; Poaceae.